CCCUUAGAUGUCCUGGGCCGCACGCGCGCUACACUGAUGCAUUCAACGAGUGACCUUAGCCGAGAGGCCUGGGCAAUCUUUUGAACGUGCAUCGUGAUAGGGAUAGAUUAUUGAAAUUAUUAAUCUUGAACGAGGAAUUCCUAGUAAACGCAGAUCAUCAAUCUGCAUUGAUUACGUCCCUGCCCUUUGUACACACCGCCCGUCGCACCUACCGAUUGGAUGGUCCGGUGAAGCCUCGGGAUUGUGGUUCUUGCCGCUUUAUUGUGGCGUGACCGCGAGAACUUGUCUAAACCUUAUCAUCUAGAGGAAGGUGAAGUCGUAACA
Molecule: ribosomal RNA, 324 nt
Filed under: uncultured eukaryote
Lineage: Eukaryota
Description: partial 18S ribosomal RNA
Rfam family: Eukaryotic small subunit ribosomal RNA
Source: RNAcentral